RNAcentral lists this ribosomal RNA (1957 nucleotides) under human gut metagenome. RNAcentral's name for it is "bacterial LSU rRNA". It matches the Rfam family "Bacterial large subunit ribosomal RNA", at positions 1 to 1987 of the family's 2925-position model. The record is from RNAcentral.
UUAAGUGACUAAGCGUACAAGGUGGAUGCCUUGGCAAUCAGAGGCGAUGAAGGACGUGCUAAUCUGCGAAAAGCUUGGAUGAGUCGAUAAGAGGCGUUUAAUCCAAGAUGUCCGAAUGGGGAAACCCAGUAGAUGAAGAAUCUACUAUCACUUACUGAAUACAUAGGUAAGUGAGGCAAACCGGGAGAACUGAAACAUCUAAGUACCCCGAGGAAAAGAAAUCAACCGAGAUUUCGUUAGUAGCGGCGAGCGAACGCGAAGGAGCCUGUUAGUGAUAAUGACAGAGACAGAGGAACAAGCUGGGAAGCUUGGCGAUACAGGGUGAUAGCCCCGUACUCGAAGUCCAGGUCAUGGUACUAAGCUAACGAUAAGUAGGGCGGGACACGUGAUAUCCUGUUUGAAGAUGGGGGGACCAUCCUCCAAGGCUAAAUACUCCUGAUUGACCGAUAGUGAACCAGUACUGUGAAGGAAAGGCGAAAAGAACCCCGGUGAGGGGAGUGAAAUAGAACCUGAAACCUUGUACGUACAAGCAGUGGGAGCCCUUUAAGGGUGACUGCGUACCUUUUGUAUAAUGGGUCAGCGACUUAUAUUUUGUAGCGAGGUUAACCGAAUAGGGGAGCCGAAGGGAAACCGAGUCUUAACUGGGCGUCUAGUUGCAAGGUAUAGACCCGAAACCCGGUGAUCUAGCCAUGGGCAGGUUGAAGGUUGGGUAACACUAACUGGAGGACCGAACCGACUAAUGUUGAAAAAUUAGCGGAUGACUUGUGGCUGGGGGUGAAAGGCCAAUCAAACCGGGAGAUAGCUGGUUCUCCCCGAAAUCUAUUUAGGUAGAGCCUUGAGCGGACACCUUCGGGGGUAGAGCACUGUUUCGGCUAGGGGUCCAUCCCGGAUUACCAACCCGAUGCAAACUACGAAUACCGAAGAGUGAUACUCAGGAGACACACGGCGGGUGCUAACGUCCGUCGUGAAGAGGGAAACAACCCAGACCGCCAGCUAAGGUCCCAAAGUCUAUAUUAAGUGGGAAACGAAGUGGGAAGGCUUAGACAGCUAGGAUGUUGGCUUAGAAGCAGCCAUCAUUUAAAGAAAGCGUAAUAGCUCACUAGUCGAGUCGGCCUGCGCGGAAGAUGUAACGGGGCUCAAAUAUAGCACCGAAGCUGCGGCAUCAGACGAAAGUCUGUUGGGUAGGGGAGCGUUCUGUAAGCGGAUGAAGGUGAAUCGAGAGGUUUGCUGGACGUAUCAGAAGUGCGAAUGCUGACAUAAGUAACGAUAAAACGGGUGAAAAACCCGUUCGCCGGAAGACCAAGGGUUCCUGUCCAACGUUAAUCGGGGCAGGGUGAGUCGGCCCCUAAGGCGAGGCUGAAAAGCGUAGUCGAUGGGAAACGGGUUAAUAUUCCCGUACUUGGAUAAACUGCGAUGUGGGGACGGAGCAGGUUAGGUUAUCGCACUGUUGGAUAUGUGCGUUUAAGUUGGUAGGUGUGAAGUUUAGGCAAAUCCGGACUUCUUUAACACUGAGAGAUGAUGACGAGGCUCUACGGAGCUGAAGUAACCGAUACCACACUUCCAGGAAAAGCCACUAAGCUUCAGGUUUAUCUAAACCGUACUGAAAACCGACACAGGUGGUCAGGUAGAGAAUACUCAGGCGCUUGAGAGAACUCGGGUGAAGGAACUAGGCAAAAUAGCACCGUAACUUCGGGAGAAGGUGCGCCGGCGUAGAUUGUAGUCCCUAGCGGGCGAAGGUUGAACCGGUCGAAGAUACCAGCUGGCUGCAACUGUUUAUUAAAAACACAGCACUCUGCAAACACGAAAGUGGACGUAUAGGGUGUGAUGCCUGCCCGGUGCUGGAAGGUUAAUUGAUGGUGUAAUCGAAAGAGAAGCUCCUGAUCGAAGCCCCAGUAAACGGCGGCCGUAACUAUAACGGUCCUAAGGUAGCGAAAUUCCUUGUCGGGUAAGUUCCGAC